This 195-nucleotide ribosomal RNA is filed under the name Campylobacter ureolyticus. RNAcentral describes it as "partial 16S ribosomal RNA". It matches the Rfam family "Bacterial small subunit ribosomal RNA", at positions 1334 to 1533 of the family's 1533-position model. Lineage: Bacteria; Pseudomonadati; Campylobacterota; Epsilonproteobacteria; Campylobacterales; Campylobacteraceae. The record is from RNAcentral.
GCUAGUAAUCGUAGAUCAGCCAUGCUACGGUGAAUACGUUCCCGGGUCUUGUACUCACCGCCCGUCACACCAUGGAAGUUGAUCUCACUCGAAGCAGGGAUGCUAAAAUAGCUACCUUCCACAGUGGUAUCAGUAACUGGGGUGAAGUCGUAACAAGGUAACCGUAGGAGAACCUGCGGUUGGAUCACCUCCUUU